GCCGGUGAUGGUGGCGCACACCGGUAGGAUUUGCCGAAAGAGGCAGAGGCAGGAGGAUCUGGAGUUCGAGGCCAGCCUGGGCUACGCACUUUUU
Molecule: small nuclear RNA, 94 nt
Filed under: Allactaga major (great jerboa)
Lineage: Eukaryota; Metazoa; Chordata; Mammalia; Rodentia; Dipodidae
Description: 4.5S RNA(H) variant 3
Source: RNAcentral